RNAcentral lists this transfer RNA (72 nucleotides) under Candidatus Daviesbacteria bacterium RIFCSPHIGHO2_01_FULL_36_37. RNAcentral describes it as "tRNA-Lys". It matches the Rfam family "tRNA". From Rfam's summary of the family: Transfer RNA (tRNA) molecules are approximately 80 nucleotides in length. RNAcentral also lists the same sequence under 1 other name. The record is from RNAcentral. Lineage: Bacteria; Candidatus Daviesiibacteriota.
GGCCCCAUAGCUCAGCGGUAGAGCAGUUGACUCUUAAUCAAUUGGUCGCUGGUUCGAAUCCAGCUGGGGUCA